Phyllostomus discolor (pale spear-nosed bat) is the source of this 797-nucleotide long non-coding RNA. RefSeq lists it as uncharacterized. The transcript is spliced from 2 exons. The record is from RefSeq and is a predicted model, not a curated record. NCBI's taxonomy places the organism in Eukaryota, Metazoa, Chordata, Mammalia, Chiroptera, Phyllostomidae.
CUGAGAGGUGCGUUGUCCUGUGAAGCAGCAACUGUGGUGGCCAGUGGAGCCUGGAGGCCCCCAGGCCUGCCCAGCAGUGCUCUCCUGUGGCCCUCCUCUGCACUGAAAACCUUCCAACUACACCAGCCAGUAACACGUUCUUGAAAUACAACAUGCACUUUCAUGCCUUCAGUCCUUUGUUCACACUGUUCCUUCGGCUUGGAGUGCCUUUUCUCUUUUCUCCACCUGGCUAGGUCCUAUAAUCUCUGAAGUCUUUCCCUUUAUUCAAAAAGUAUUUCUUAAGCUCCAGGCACCUGACACCUGCCUGGGUAAGGACCCCAGUCCAUUACUCUCCAGCCCUGGUGGCCUAACCAGCAGCUUCAGUCUCCCAAACAGUCCCCCAAGGGGACUUAGGGAAGCAGCAGCAGCAGCAGCAGCAGUGGCAGCAGCAGUAGGAGCAGCAGCAGAAGCAGCACUCUGAGACUGAGCUGGGGAUGUUGGUGGGAAGUGGAAGUGGAGGGAGGAUGCCUGGGUUGUGGAUGAUUCCAAAAGGGGCAAGUCCCAGGUAUAGGGGUGGGGAUGCCCAGCUGUCUCUGGGAAGCUGACAACCAGCCUGGAUAAGAUAGCCACAGCUAAGUCUCCUCUCUUACGGAGCUCUCAUAAAAGUGAGGAGUGACAUGGGAUGGAGACUAAAACCAAACAGGUAAAUAAACAAAUGCAUUAGCUUAUUUCAGAGCAUGCAAAUGACAAUGAAAAAAAGAAAAAAAAAAAACAACAACCCAGGAUGUUGUGAUAAAAAGUGACUCAGAGAGGUGGAU